This 253-nucleotide ribosomal RNA is filed under the name uncultured bacterium. RNAcentral describes it as "partial 16S ribosomal RNA". It matches the Rfam family "Bacterial small subunit ribosomal RNA", at positions 524 to 776 of the family's 1533-position model. The record is from RNAcentral.
UACGGAGGAUCCGAGCGUUAUCCGGAUUUAUUGGGUUUAAAGGGUGCGUAGGCGGCCUGUUAAGUCAGGGGUGAAAGACCGUAGCUCAACUAUCGCAGUGCCCUUGAUACUGGCGGGCUUGAAUGGACUAGAGGUAGGCGGAAUGAGACAAGUAGCGGUGAAAUGCGUAGAUAUGGCUCAGAACACCGAUUGCGAAGGCAGCUUACUAGGGUGCUAUUGACGCUGAGGCACGAAAGCGUGGGGAUCGAACAGG